UUGGUCUUUCGUAUAAUCGGUUAUUACGGCGGACUGUUAAUCCGUUUAUCCGGGUUCGAGUCCCGGAGGACCAGCCAA
RNAcentral lists this transfer RNA (78 nucleotides) under Klebsiella phage vB_KaeM_KaOmega. RNAcentral's name for it is "tRNA-Asn". It matches the Rfam family "tRNA". From Rfam's summary of the family: Transfer RNA (tRNA) molecules are approximately 80 nucleotides in length. Their secondary structure includes four short double-helical elements and three loops (D, anti-codon, and T loops). Lineage: Duplodnaviria; Heunggongvirae; Uroviricota; Caudoviricetes. The record is from RNAcentral.